Molecule: ribosomal RNA, 253 nt
Filed under: uncultured bacterium
Lineage: Bacteria
Description: partial 16S ribosomal RNA
Rfam family: Bacterial small subunit ribosomal RNA
Source: RNAcentral
UACGUAGGGUGCGAGCGUUAAUCGGAAUUACUGGGCGUAAAGCGUGCGUAGACGGUAGCGUAAGUCGGGUGUGAAAGCCCCGGGCUCAACCUGGGAAUGGCAUUCGAGACUGCUCUGCUAGGGUGCGGAAGAGGGGAGCGGAAUUGCCGGUGUAGUGGUGAAAUGCGUAGAGAUCGGCAGGAACACCCAGGGGGAAACCAGUCGACUGGGCAUCUACUGACGCUGAGGUGCGAGAGCGUGGGGAGCGAACCGG